Triticum aestivum (bread wheat) is the source of this 128-nucleotide non-coding RNA. Lineage: Eukaryota; Viridiplantae; Streptophyta; Magnoliopsida; Poales; Poaceae. The record is from Rfam.
CAAGUACUCCCUCCGUCCGGAAAUACUUGUCGUCGGAGGAAUGGAUGUAUCUAGACGUAUUUUAGUUCUAGAUACAUCCAUUUUUAUGCAUUCCUCCAACAAGUAUUUCCGGACGGAGGGAGUAUAAA